This 821-nucleotide long non-coding RNA is filed under the name Marmota monax (woodchuck). The record is from RNAcentral. Lineage: Eukaryota; Metazoa; Chordata; Mammalia; Rodentia; Sciuridae.
CAAUAUGUAAAAAGAUGUUCAACAUCACUAAUUACUAGGGAAAUACAAGUCAAAACUAUAAUGAUACCACCUCACACCCAAUAAAAUAUCCACAAUCAAAUAGAAAUACCAAGUGUUGGUGAGGAUACACUGAAAUUGGAGCUGUUAUUGGAGUUCCUCAAAAAAUUAAAAGUAGAAUUACCAAAUGGUCCAGCAACUCCACUUCUAAAUAUAUACCCAAAAAACUCAACACAAGUCUCAAAGAAAUAUUUGUACUUACUUAUUCAUAGCAUUAUUCACAAUAACUAAAUUGUAUAAGCAGCACAACUGUCCAUUCACAGAUGAAAGUAUAAGCAAAAUGUGGCAUAUAUAUGCAACAUUACUCAACCUUAAGGAAGGAGAAAAUUCUGACAUACACAAUAAGAUGGAUAAAUCUUGGUGAACAAUGCUAAGUAAAAUAAGCCAGUCACAAAAAAACAACUACUGUAUAAUCCCACAUAUAUGAAAUACUCAGAAUGGCAAAACCAUAAAGACUGUAGAAUGGCAGUUUCCAGAAGUUGGAGGAAAGGGAGUCUCUGUUUUACAAGAAUAAAAGAGUUAUGAAGAUGGAUGGUAGUGAUAAAUGCAUGACAUUAUGAAUGCACUUAAUACUAUUAAACUGUAUAUUUAAAAAUAGCUAAUAGUAAACUUUAUGUUACAUACAUUUUACCACAUUGAAAAGAAUUUGGAAGUAAAAUCAAUGGGCAAUGGGAAUGAACUGAUAAAUUCUUUAGACCCAGAAAGGAAACAAUGCUAAAUAUAAAUCUAAACAAUGCUAAAUCUAAAAUUAUCUCUGGAUUGAC